Long non-coding RNA from Amaranthus tricolor (Joseph's coat), 714 nucleotides. RefSeq lists it as uncharacterized. The transcript is spliced from 2 exons. The record is from RefSeq and is a predicted model, not a curated record. NCBI's taxonomy places the organism in Eukaryota, Viridiplantae, Streptophyta, Magnoliopsida, Caryophyllales, Amaranthaceae.
AUUGCAACAACUGCACGCCACACGCUACACGCACGCAUCAACAUGUAGUUUCAGUUUCUCGCAUAAACAUUUAGGUAGGAAAUUGGCGUCCAUUUUCAAGGAAUCUGGAAACUUAGGAGGAUUCGUUCAUCUACUCUUGAUCUUGCUGUUGUACUGUCUUGCUGUUGAAAUCCCUUGAGAAUUUAUAUGAAGCCUUGAUCAAGCAUUCCAAAUCCGGAUUAGUAGGAUCAGGUAAUCGAAUAAACGAAGCAAAGAUGGGGUUUGUCAUAGUUAUCUCGGUGCCAUUGCUCUUACUACUCUUGAUCAUAGUUCUAGCUGCCUAUUUGCUUGUAAGGGCUCGGCGUCGUUCUGUAGCGACACAGCAUUUCGGCCCUCCUGCUCCGCCACCAUUUGCAGGCCCACCGCCUCCUGAGGUAAAAUCAUCACAGGUUUAAUGUUUUUGAACGAGGAAUUAAGUGCAUGGCUAUUGGAGAUGCUUGAUAGUGUGUUCUACUCGAGUAUGUGAUACGGUUUUGAAGUGUCAUUUGUGUAAAGAGAAUUAAUUUAUAUAUGUAUGUUUGCAUAGUUACAUAUGUGGCUGUAAAACUUCAGGAUGCUCAAAAAUGUUAUUUUUUUUUUAAAAAAAAAAAAAAAACAGAGCAGUUAGUAGGCAGUGCUGGAGUUGUGAAUAUGAGAAAAAGAAUACUAAAGCUAUGAACACGAAAUUAAUUUGUA